Molecule: non-coding RNA, 122 nt
Filed under: Brassica oleracea var. oleracea
Lineage: Eukaryota; Viridiplantae; Streptophyta; Magnoliopsida; Brassicales; Brassicaceae
Source: RNAcentral
AUACUGAAAAUGCAAUAACGCGUGUCUGUUGAGCGAAGGCUUGGCUCAGGCGGUUCCUAAAGUGGAGGGCAAUGCGCUAGGCUGGUUUCACAGAGCAGCGAUCACCUCCCACUUUCGGCAGU